This 490-nucleotide ribosomal RNA is filed under the name uncultured bacterium. RNAcentral's name for it is "partial 16S ribosomal RNA". It matches the Rfam family "Bacterial small subunit ribosomal RNA", at positions 30 to 507 of the family's 1533-position model. The record is from RNAcentral.
AUUGAACGCUGGCGGCAGGCCUAACACAUGCAAGUCGAACGGUAACAGAAAGCAGCUUGCUGCUUUGCUGACGAGUGGCGGACGGGUGAGUAAUGUCUGGGAAACUGCCUGAUGGAGGGGGAUAACUACUGGAAACGGUAGCUAAUACCGCAUAACGUCGCAAGACCAAAGAGGGGGACCUUCGGGCCUCUUGCCAUCGGAUGUGCCCAGAUGGGAUUAGCUAGUAGGUGGGGUAAAGGCUCACCUAGGCGACGAUCCCUAGCUGGUCUGAGAGGAUGACCAGCCACACUGGAACUGAGACACGGACCAGACUCCUACGGGAGGCAGCAGUGGGGAAUAUUGCACAAUGGGCGCAAGCCUGAUGCAGCCAUGCCGCGUGUAUGAAGAAGGCCUUCGGGUUGUAAAGUACUUUCAGCGGGGAGGAAGGGAGUAAAGUUAAUACCUUUGCUCAUUGACGUUACCCGCAGAAGAAGCACCGGCUAACUCCGUG